RNAcentral lists this unclassified non-coding RNA (288 nucleotides) under uncultured bacterium. RNAcentral's name for it is "partial contains 16S ribosomal RNA and 16S-23S ribosomal RNA intergenic spacer region". It matches the Rfam family "Bacterial small subunit ribosomal RNA", at positions 70 to 351 of the family's 1533-position model. The record is from RNAcentral.
GAAAGGGGAGCCAUCCCUGAGUAAAGUGGCGUACGGGUGAGUAACACGUGGGUAAUCUACCUCUUAGUGGGCGAUAUCUCUGGGAAACCGGAGUUAAUGCCGCAUAAGCUCUAGGGAGGAAACGGGAAACCGGCUGAGAGAGGAGCCCGCGGCCGAUUAGCUGGUUGGUAGGGUAAAGUCCUACCAAGGCCGGGAUCGGUAGCCGGCCUGAGAGGGCACACGGCCACACUGGCACUCCAACACGGGCCAGGGUCCUACGGGAGGCAGUUCCCUAUCUUGCGUAAAACU